UAUAGUAACGAUAGCAAUGAGGAUACACCUGUUCCCAUACCGAACACAGAAGUUAAGCUCAUUAACGCCGAUGGUACUCGGAGGGCAACCUCCCGGUAGAGUAGGAAGUUGCUAAAU
Molecule: ribosomal RNA, 117 nt
Filed under: Anaerococcus pacaensis
Lineage: Bacteria; Bacillati; Bacillota; Tissierellia; Tissierellales; Peptoniphilaceae
Source: RNAcentral